Molecule: long non-coding RNA, 2443 nt
Filed under: Macaca mulatta (Rhesus monkey)
Lineage: Eukaryota; Metazoa; Chordata; Mammalia; Primates; Cercopithecidae
Description: lncRNA (ENSMMUG00000058237.1)
Source: RNAcentral
AUCUGGUCUUUGCCGCUACCCUCGUCAACAGCCUGAGCUGGAUACCUGGCUGACAAGUACCACCUUUUUCCUACACAGAUGACAACCCAGCCCAUAAGCACCAGGCCCAGGAAACUACCAUUCUACUCUCUGCUUCUAUGAGUUUGACUAUUUUAGAUUUCUCAUGAACUUCCAUACCAUUUCUGUAGUGAUCACACCAACUGAUAUUCCCACCAACAAUGCACAGGGGUUCUGAUUUCCCUACAUUUUUGGCAACACAAGCUAUCACUGUCUUCUUGAUAAUAACCAUUCUAACAGUGGCUCUCCCUGUGAGAGGAGUAUGCUUCUUGAUCACUGAAGGCUGACUAGGCGAUGCAGAAGGCUGCUUCUAACAAUUGAAUCUGAAAACUGAAUUAAUAUAGAGCCAAAGAAAAUACUACGACUCUGUCUUCACACUGCUCCUAAUGGCAUUGGCCACCAUCAGGCCAAGGGGGAUGUUCAGAACACCAGUAAAAUUGUAGACUCUGCUAAUAAAAAAAGAUAAAAUAGCUCAAAAUUAUGUCAUGUUUUAGUUGGCUUCAUAUAUUUUUUUAGUUAGCUUCAUAUUUUAAACAUAUUAUUGUUUUUGGUUUAUGUGUUCAUUUCCAAAAUUUCUGAUUAUCUUUUUUUCUUUGUGCUCUGUCCUUUUAUGAUAUCUCUAAGUCUCUCCAAGCUAACAAUUAUACUAGAGUGUCUGUCAAAUCGCUCCCACCAUCAAUAUCCCUCAGAAAAUGUCCUCCUGUAAUUUUCAGUGCUAUUUUUCCAAACUGGACUGAAUAUUGCUAUAAUAAGACGUUUGAUGACAUUUUUAUUUGUAUAGUCUAAAUUGUAUCUAAGUCCCAAAGCUAAAGACAAAAUAUCCUGUCGCUUAUAUUCUAAAUAGAAACCUAAAAAUAGCCAACUUUGGGUUGGCUUCCUUCAUGUCUGACCCCUAGAUCUUGCAAGGAACCAGCAAGCAACCUUCCUGUUAGGAACACUAGCAUCCCUCUUCCUCAUUCCUCAAUAUGCAUAAGAAGACUAGGGUAGGUAAAGGGGAUGACAGACAUUAGAGUAACCUGGGUUUUUGCUGCCAUUGUGAAAAAUGUAAUUUUCUAGGUAAGUUGUUUUCUCUUCUUCUUCCAUAAGACAAGAAAAAGGAAAUUCUCAAUAUCUUCCAAGCCAAGUAAUAGGAAAGCCAAGAAAAUAACAUAAAUAUUUGAAAUGCUUACAAGAAGAGACAGACACCUUCCUUCCCUGAUAGAUAAAAUCCACAGAACUUGCAGUAACACCUGGUCAUAGGAGAUUAUGAGAGAGAUUCAUAUCUGUAACCUAUUGGGCAGGUAAUUAUUACUUUAGUGAAAAUCUCUUUCAUACAUACACACUCUGCCUCAUUAGUGAACAGUGUCACCUGAUCCUGAAAAGCGUGACUUCUCUCAUCCAUGAUGCUUUUUUUUUGUUUUAUUCUCUCCCGUGCUCUCUCCUUUCUUCCCUCUUCUCCCCUCCCUCCAUCUCCUUCUCUUUCUUUCUUUCUUUUUUUUUUUGUUAAAGUUUUCGGCCUGUAAGCAUUCUUUCUUUUCUUUAAAAAAUUAAACUUUAAGUUCUAGGAUACAUGUUCAGAACGUGCAGGUUUGUUACAUAGGUAUACACGUGCCAUGGUGGUUUGCUGCACCCAUCAACCUAUCAUCUACAUUAGGUAUUUCUCCUAAUGCCAUCCAUCCCCCAGCCCCCCACCUCCUGACAGGUCCCAGUGUGUGAUGUUCCCCUCCCUGUGUCCAUGUGUUCUCAUUGUUCAAUGCCCACUUAUGAGUGAGAACAUGCGGUGUUUGGUUUUCUGUUCUUGUGUUAGUUUGCUGAGAAUGAUGGUGUCCAGCUUCAUCCAUGUGCCUGCAAAGGACAUGAAUUCUUCCUUUUUUAUGGCUGCAUAGUAUUCCAUGGUGUAUAUGUGUCACUUUUUUUUUUUUAAUCCAGUCUAUCCUUGAUGGGCAUGUGGGUUGGUUCCAGGUCUUUAACACUUACCAUCAUCUCAGGAGAAAGGAGGAGAUUGGUGCAUGUUCUCUGUCCCCCAUUCUGAAAAUGGCACAUUUCCCCCUUAGUAUUUGGUGGUGCUUCUGUCAUCUGAUGUUUACUAAUAUUACACAGUGUUUAUGUGUCAUUUACAAAAGAGGCAGUGUAAUCAUAAGAAAGAGCAUAGGAUUAGAAAUUUUGUAGACUUGUUUAAAUUCUGGCUCUGUCACUUGUUGUCUAUAUGAUUUUGGGCAAAGUUAACUAUUUUCUUAUCUUUGACUUGUGAAUAAUGACAGCAAGAAUAACAGUGGCAACAAUAAUGAAAAAGUCAAUGACAAUUAUAUCAGCAUAUCAUUUGUUUUUCUCAUCAAUAGAUAUAUUACAUAAUUAAAACACCUGGUUCAGCUACUAAUUAAUUUAAUAAAUUUACAUUAAGUACUCA